This is a long non-coding RNA of Cyprinus carpio carpio, 2594 nucleotides long. NCBI's taxonomy places the organism in Eukaryota, Metazoa, Chordata, Actinopteri, Cypriniformes, Cyprinidae. The record is from Ensembl.
AUAAAAAUAUUACACAAUUCAGCAGAAUAAGUUGAAUUAAUUAAACAUAACAGCUAACCUGAAAUCGCUUUUAUUUUUUGUCUUGCAGAAUUUCUGCAGAAAUACAUCAAAACGUUAAAAAUAAAUGUCACAACAAGUUACCACAAAACACAACCCCACAGAAAUCAUCACAACAAAAAUGCACAAAAAAGUGUUAUAAAAAUCAAGCCAAUCAAACUUUUCAAUAGAAUAAAUGAUCUUAACAGAAAACUUAACAGGUAACUUGAAAUCGUUUUGAGUAGGCAUUUAUCUAGUAGACGCAUACAUUAAAAUUAAUUUCCAAUUUAUUUCUUUUUUUUCUUUUAAUGAAUUUGUUUACCAUAUUCCCUGGUUUUACUGUCCCUUUCAGUUCAUUUACACCACUUAUUUAUUUUCUAUACUUUCUAUUUCUGUACUAAAUAUACUGUAGACAUAGAACUGUAGGACAUAAUAACAUUGUAAAACAUUUCAACAUUAAAAAGCUUAAUGACUCUAGAGCUAACACAAAAAGAGCAGCACAUGUAAAUGUGUGGAUUCAGUGCUUGUGCGUGUAUGUGUGUGAGCCGCUGGUGACUCAUGAGGUGUGGCUAAGCCGGACGGGGUUAUUUUGAGCAGAUAUAAAGCAAGCUCAGGUGAAGCAAGCUCUCAGAGAAGAAACUCCUCGGUCAAAUGUCUCUGGAAUAUCCCGUAUGUCUCGCUUACUUGAUAGACAGAGAACUGUGUCCCUUUACUGACCUGCCUAUCACUUACCUUAAACACACAUCUUCCUCUUUCCUGCACAUGAUACUGCCUGUUAUAAAGAAAUACUGAUUCUUAAACCUGUUGAUCAUACAAUACAGGCCUAUAAAGUGACCCCAAACAGUAAAGACUUACGACUAAAGCUUUAAAUGGAAAAUAGUAUUCUUAUUCUAAAUACAAAUAAAUAAAACAAUAGAUUUACUGUCCUGAAUGAAGACAAAAAAGUGCAUUGACAUGUCCUGCGGGAGGUGAAUGCAUGUAAAUAUAUAGGCUAGAUCAUGGCAGGGCCUGUGGUGAGGACAGAUGAGUAAAAUGCCAGCAGGCCGUCCUGUAGUGAGCGUCCUGUGGUGUGAGUCAUCACAAUCAGUUAGCAGGUUGAUUUCACAGGAGCCACCACAUUUCAACACUGACAUUAUGUUUCUCCUUUUAAAAAGUAUCGCAAUCACAAACCCUCGUGCUAUGAAAGCAACGUACAAUUAAUGCGAAAUAAUGCGUGAACUCAUGUAAAAACCUUAAAUACAACAUUGUACAUAUAUGUGUGUGUGUGUUUAAAUAUGAUUGAUGGAUUCAUUAAAAUAUGCAUUUCUGUACUGAAAGCGCAUGCAUUAAAAGCAACCCCAAUGCAUCUGGAAUAUCAAUUAAUGCUAUUAAACUUGGGAUAAGCAUUACUAGUGCAAUCCGAUCUGCAUUACAAAUGUGUGCACAAUACAAAAACAAUACUAGCGGAGAACGGCCCGUAAAGUGAUAGCUACGAAGAAGCGAUUGACGCAUGCAACAAAACCCAACAUAAAGCCCAGAGCGAGAGGCUUUCUAAAUAACGCUGGUGAUGUUCAGUGGAGGUUCCUGGAAUGUUUGUCUUAACACAAAGAUGAUGAGCUUAAAGAUAAAACCAAAUUACGCCCGAAAAACAAAACUGAAAAGUUGUGGUUUUCACUAAAAAAAAGAGAGAAAGAGAGAGAGAAAGAAAAAAAAGAGUCAAUUUAAUUAGGCCGGGACUGUACUAUAUUUUGUGGAGGAUAUGGUAUUUUAGCCUGACAUUUAAACAUCCUAUGCUUUUGGCUGGUGCCAUCUGUGCUGAAACCAACCCACGCGCACACAAACACAGCUCUCUCCCCUAUUAUCUCUCAGCAAACUGUUUUUAAUAUCAAAUGAGCUUAAAAUGCACUAUCAGAAAAUGCAUUUUAUCUUUGACAAUCACUGAUAAUCUGUUCUGGAAUCCUGCACAGACGGUGUACGGAAAAAAAAAAAGCCAAUACUGUAGCUCAUGAAUGCAAACACAAAGAACCGUUUGUUCCAUUCUGCACAAAAGGCAACAGUUUUUGCUUUUCCAGAGCUGCAGAAAUAGUCCCACGUUGCGUGUAGUAAGACUAGUGCAGCUGUUCUUCAAAGAGACAAAUAAAAGGUUAAAGGUCACAGUGAAAUAGGCAGCGCUUCCCGACAGUUUCCAAUGAGGGAAUAAAAAAAAAUCAUGAAUAGCAAACAGACCAACUCAGAUGUAAGCGGACAGAUGGUUAUUGAACUGAAGAAUUCACAUUCUUAAAAGCCCGGAAGGCCGGUUAAUUCAUGUGUUACUUAGCAUGGUUGUGAUUACAAGGUCAUGUGUUGAAUUUUGCAGUACACUGCAUGUUUGACCGUCUUGGAUCAGCGAUGCAAUUAUUUAUCCUUUACAUUUAUCAACAUACAUUUUUAUCUAAAGCAACUUAAAAAAAAAAAAAAACGAGGUAUGUUAAAUAAUAUUAAAUAAAAGCUUCAUCUAGUUUAAAUGACAUGCAUGGUUAUUGAGUGACACAUUUCCAUGCUGUAAUUGUAAAAAUAAGUUAAUCUAAAAAUAAGCAGGU